UACGUAGGGUGCGAGCGUUGUCCGGAAUUAUUGGGCGUAAAGAGCUUGUAGGCGGUUUGUCGCGUCUGCUGUGAAAAUCCGGGGCUCAACCCCGGACUUGCAGUGGGUACGGGCAGACUAGAGUGUGGUACGGGAGACUGGAAUUCCUGGUGUAGCGGUGAAAUGCGCAGAUAUCAGGAGGAACACCGAUGGCGAAGGCAGGUCUCUGGGCCACUACUGACGCUGAGAAGCGAAAGCAUGGGGAGCGAACAGG
RNAcentral lists this ribosomal RNA (253 nucleotides) under uncultured bacterium. RNAcentral describes it as "partial 16S ribosomal RNA". It matches the Rfam family "Bacterial small subunit ribosomal RNA", at positions 524 to 776 of the family's 1533-position model. The record is from RNAcentral.